UACGUAGGGGGCUAGCGUUGUCCGGAUUUAUUGGGCGUAAAGAGCGUGUAGGCGGCCAGGUAGGUCUGCUGUGAAAACUCGAGGCUCAACCUCGAGACGUCGGCGGAAACCAUCUGGCUAGAGUCCGGAAGAGGAAAGUGGAAUUCCUGGUGUAGCGGUGAAAUGCGCAGAUAUCAGGAAGAACACCAAUGGCGAAAGCAGCUUUCUGGGACGGUACUGACGCUGAGACGCGAAAGCGUGGGGAGCGAACAGG
This 253-nucleotide ribosomal RNA is filed under the name uncultured bacterium. RNAcentral's name for it is "partial 16S ribosomal RNA". It matches the Rfam family "Bacterial small subunit ribosomal RNA", at positions 524 to 776 of the family's 1533-position model. The record is from RNAcentral.